GUGGGAGUGACAGAGAGUGGCUGUCUCGGGAGUAGCAGGACGCUGCUGUUUGCUAAAAGCCCCCGAACACCGUCCUCCACCCCCACCCUUAAAGACUUUGCAAUCUGUAGAAGACACAAGGCAGGGAUAUAUACUUUUUCACUAAAAGAGAAUUUACGAUUUUUUUUUAAACCACACUAACAGUUAAAAAAAAAAGAAAAGAAAACCCUCAAAGGACAAAAGUUGAAACUCACUGGCCGGACUAGAAAGGUUUCACAGAAAAUGAACACCGUUACAUGUGGAGUGGUGAAGAAGAAAAGAAGCCAAGUGUGGAAAAUCAUAAUGGGCAAAUUAGCAAAUUUGCAUUUGCUAGGGCUCGGAGACAGACAACCAAUCCCGGAACACUCACACACAAUACAUAUUUCGUGGGAGCUCCGGACACAACCCAGGGCUAAGCCACAAGGCAACUUAUGCCCCCACAAAGGGCUUUGGAUGGGGCAGACUGACAGGCAAGAAAGAGUCUCUCUAAUAUUCUUCCUUUUGCACACAAUAAUAUUAAUAACGAGGGUUUUGAACAUGUAUUCUUUGUUUGGCUCUUCCCUUCUUAUGCAUCAUCUCAUUUCAUCCUCACAUUAGCACUCUGAAAAAGUUAUUACUUUCCCUUUUUUACUGAUGAGUUAAGUGAAGCUCAGAG
RNAcentral lists this long non-coding RNA (673 nucleotides) under Microcebus murinus (gray mouse lemur). RNAcentral's name for it is "lncRNA (ENSMICG00000048492.1)". Lineage: Eukaryota; Metazoa; Chordata; Mammalia; Primates; Cheirogaleidae. The record is from RNAcentral.